ACAAGCCAGUGCACCUGUCCUCCCAACCACUCAGGAAGCCAAGGCAGGAGCAUCACUUGAGCCCCAAAGGUCAAGUCCAGCUUAGGCACAGGCGAGACCCUGUCUUUGUUUCUAAGAAGCCCAAAGGCCUUCCCCGUGAAGUUUUCCUUCAGUCUGGCUUCGGGGAUGAGAAAUGGCGCUUCUCUUCCCCGAGGGGAAUCUCCUGGGGUCACAGAACCACGUGGUGGAAGCAGAUGGAUGGGACAGGCUCCCACUAGACGCAAGCCAAGCAGCAGGGAAAAGGUCAAGGUUCCGUCCAUCAAGCCGCCUCCCUGUGAGCAGAGGCACUCGGGUCAUAGCAGCC
This 343-nucleotide long non-coding RNA is filed under the name Marmota monax (woodchuck). Lineage: Eukaryota; Metazoa; Chordata; Mammalia; Rodentia; Sciuridae. The record is from RNAcentral.